This 3228-nucleotide long non-coding RNA is filed under the name Mytilus galloprovincialis (Mediterranean mussel). Lineage: Eukaryota; Metazoa; Mollusca; Bivalvia; Mytilida; Mytilidae. The record is from RNAcentral.
UGGAAAUGGGGAAUGUGCCAAAGAGACAACAACCCGACCAUAGAAAAAAACAACAGCAGAAGGUCACCAACAGGUCUUCAAUGUAGCGAGAAAUUCCCGCACCCGGAGGUGUCCUUCAGCUGGCCCCUAAACAAUUAUAUACUAGUUCAGUGAUAAUGAACGCCAUACUAAUUUCCAAAUUGUACACAAGAAACUAAAAUUAAAAUAAUACAAGACUAACAAAGGCCAGAGGCUCCUGACUUGGGACAGGCGCAAAAAUGCGGCGGGGUUAAACAUGUUUGUGAGAUCUCAACCCUCCCCCUAUACCUCUAGCCAAUGUAGAAAAGUAAACGCAUAACAAUACGCACAUUAAAAUUCAGUCCAAGAGAAGUCUGAGUCUGAUGUCAGAAGAUGUAACCAAAGAAAAUAAACAAAAUGACAAUAAUACAUAAAUAACAGCAUUAUUUAAUUUAUUUAAUUGUUCUCUGUAUUCUGUCAUAUUUGUCAUAUAUGUAUAUAUGUUUUAUGCUAAAGCAAUUUGUUGCUAAUGCAAUAAAGAUUCAUUCAAUGAUGGCUACAUGAAAAUUUAUUAGGUACAAUUUAAAGGCUACAUAAACAUUAAAUAUUGAGGCCAAAGUUAGUUUUCAAAGCUUAUUGUAUUCUUGCAUGUACCCGAUGUACCCAUGGUGUUUUUAAAAAAGCUCUAAAUUUCCAAUCUUGUAACAUUACUGAAUAACAUAAUAUUACCAGACAAUUUUAAAAAUAAACUAGUUUCCUUUCGGUGACAUAAUUCAUUUUUUUAAAACAUUGCACUACUAAUUGUAUAAAGUUUCAAAAGUAAGCAAAUUAUUAGACUCUUUAUCCUGUCGACUUUAAUGUCAGUUUAUAAUAUAAAAAUUAAAUGUGUUUACUAUAGUUUUGACUAGUGAUGAAAUUAACUGUGUGAAACUGCUUAUUGUUUUUAGUUUUAAUCUUGUUAUUAUUAAUUUCUAAUAGAUCUAUCAUAAAAUGACCUUUGAUAGUGUUUUUUUAAUGACGUGACAACUAGAAGGGUAAUAUGAAGAGUUAAAUAUUAAAAGUAAACCUAUUAAUUACCGGUCCGGAACAGUUACGUAACCAGUAGUAAAACGAGCUUUGUGUUAGAAAUGUUUUCUCUUGAAUAAACUAGCUAAUGCAUUUGUAAAUAAUCUUAUUGGAAUGGUAGAAGAGCAUAUAGUGAAAAGGUAAUUUUACAUACCCCUUAACAUAAUACUAGCAGACUAUAAGAUAAACGUCCGAUACGUAAAUAUUAAAUUAAAAUAAAAAGCAGACAAAAGUACCACAAAAUACAUAAACACGUCACAUAUUCAAUUAGACAGCAAUCAAACGAUAUAAUUCACAAAUUUUAAUCAACAGAACAUUGGUUAAUUUUCAUGACUAGAAUGGUGUCCUUACAGUUACUUUAUAUGACUAUUUCUUAAACUAAUUGACAAACCGAAUGGUCGGAACUCGAAAGUUAUUAGUUUAUAAAUAGUUAUCAAAGGUACCAGGAUUAUAAUUUAGUACGCCAGACGCGCGUUUCGUCUACAUAAGACUCAUCAGUGACGCUCACAUCCAAAUAUGUAUAAAGCCAAACAAGUACAAAGUUGAAGAGCAUUAAGGAUCCAAAAUUCCAAAAAGUUGUGCCAAAUACAGCUAAGGUAAUCUAUGCCUGGGAUAAGAAAAUCCUUAGUUUUUUCGAAAAAAUCAUAGUUUUGUAAACAGGAAAUUUAUAAAAAUGACCACAUUAUUGAUAUCCAUGUCAACACCGAAGUGUUGACUACUGGGCUGGUGAUACCCUCGGGGACGAAACUUUAUGAACUUAGAAUUCGAUGUAAAAACAUGUAUUCGCUAGAGAUUACAAGAAAACAAUAUGGCUGUAUAAUAUCCAAGCCGCCAAAAACUAAGAAUAAUACAUGACGUAUGAUCCCGAAACAGAUACAUGGAGGAUUCUUCAUAAAUAUUAUUUAAGGAAUGACUGUAAUAUUGUUUCUGUCUAUGAAGAAAUAACAUAAAAAAUGUGGUGCACACUGAAUAACGCGCGUAGCGGGUUAUUUAACAGUGUGCACCACAUUUUUUAUGUUAUUUCGAAUAGACAGAAAAAAAUAUAACAGUCAUUUCUUAUAAUUUAAUUCUAAAUUCAAUUUUAGAAAACCAUGAAAAAACGUUGAUGACGUCACGGUCACAUGACUAAAUUAUGUCUAUGGGCUCAUAACAAAAUAACGUCAGCCAAUCAGAAGACGCGUUACAUCCAAAAUUAAAUUAUAUCAAUAUGUAGUACAAAAUUCAUCAUAACAUUUCCGAAAGCAAAUAACAUGCAUCACUAUAAUAUUCAAAUAGUUAUCAAAGGUACAAGGAUUACAAUUUAGCACGCCAGACGCGCGUUUCGUCAAAACUAGCAGAUAUGAUUUAUAUCAGAACAAGUCUUAAAGAAGGGAUUACUUCUUUUGAACGUUUUGAUUCAAGCUCGACUGUAAGCUGAACGUGCGUCUGACGAAGUAAACUUAUAAGCCUGAUUAAAAAAAAUGAAAACGAAACAACACAUUUGGAGGGGCACUUUUUACACCCAAGUUUUCUAUCAUAUCUUUUUAUUUUUCUUCUUUAAUGAGUUCAACAUCCUUUGAAACGGAAAUGUUGUGAAUUUCAGAUCAUUUUGAGCAUUUUUUACACAUGCAAGAGCCCUCAAAUUUGGCCCUCAUUAAUCACAAUGGAAAUGUCACAAAUUUGUCUUUAAUUAGUACAAGUAGUACAUUUUUGAAUUUUGUAUACCUGUAAUUUGCUAUUUCCCACAUAAUUCCCUGGAAUUGACACCUGCACAUUAAUACAUGUAAGUCGAUAUACAAUAAUUGUGUACAUUGAUAGUUGGUUGAUUUAUGUAGUCUAACACCACCUUUAACACUUUAAAUUGCCUAUAUAAUGGUUGGGGCCCUUUCUAGCUUGCUGUUCGUUGCAAGCCAAGGCCCCGUAUUGAAGGCUGUACUUUGACCUAUAAGUAUUGAGGGGGGCAAGGGGGGUCCCAAUAACAGCAAAACAGCAAAUUGAUUUGGCUCAUAACAGAUAACAAGGAAUUAAAAUGGACAAAAACAGAUAACAGUAAAUGAAAUAUUAAAAUAAUUCGGUCUUUGACAAAUCAGUAUUUCUUAUUACGGAUAUAAUCCUUUGUAAUGCAUUCCAUUUUCUAUGACUAUGUUUUUAGUAUUAAUUUAUGUAUCUAGAAUGUGUUUAAAUUAC